GACAGAGGGUGCAAACGUUGUUCGGAAUUACUGGGCGUAAAGCGCGUGUAGGCGGCUAAGUAAGUCGGGCGUGAAAUCCCACGGCUCAACCGUGGAAGUGCACUCGAAACUGCAUAGCUAGAGUCCUGGAGAGGAAGGUGGAAUGCUUGGUGUAGAGGUGAAAUUCGUAGAUAUCAAGCGGAACACCGGUGGCGAAGGCGGUUCUCUGGGCAUUACCUGACGCUGAGGAGCGAAAGUGUGGGGAGCGAACAGG
This 253-nucleotide ribosomal RNA is filed under the name uncultured bacterium. RNAcentral's name for it is "partial 16S ribosomal RNA". It matches the Rfam family "Bacterial small subunit ribosomal RNA", at positions 524 to 776 of the family's 1533-position model. The record is from RNAcentral.